RNAcentral lists this unclassified non-coding RNA (340 nucleotides) under rhizosphere metagenome. Its description in RNAcentral is "partial ribosomal RNA internal transcribed spacer region". The record is from RNAcentral.
GUAGGUGAACCUGCGGAAGGAUCAUUUACACGUAUCCAAACGUUAAAACCCCAAACGUUAAAACCCCUUUAAUCCUGCUCUUGUAACCCGCGCAGUCGCAAUCUCUGGUAAAUCAAAGUGGGAGGAAAGUUGUUUGAUUCAGAGACCUGAGAACAUUGGAACACUUACAAUCGACAUAGGCAUUGUUUCCCCAAGCAGUCAGUGUCGGAAAGUGUCACGGAUUGUGCAAGGAUAGCGCUUCACGCCAUGCCCCCUAAUAACCACAGUUUAAUGUAAAGCUCAAUGUAAUACAUUGAGGAAAAAAACCGAACAACUGUUAACAAUGGAUAUCUUGGUUCUC